GCGAACAUGUGACUUGGGAUGGGACCGCCCGUCAUACUCUUCCAGACUUUUCCACGAGGAGAAAUCUUGUACAAGGUAUAAAUUUGGUUCAAGUAUAUUUGUCUUUAUCUCUAUAGGUCCAAAUUCCAUCAGCGUGCACACCAAACAAUGCUGGCAGUCCAUUGAGAAUGACAAUCAUAAAUUGAUCAUAAAUUUUAAUAUCAGAAAAUACCUCUUGGAACACCCACCACAACAAAAUCGCCAUUGUCAUAUUCCUCGCAUUGGUAGUGACUUUGGGCAACAAACCGUUAGUACUGAUCCCCAAGAAAGAGUAUACGAAUUCAAUUUGUUGAGUUGUUCAGUCAUCAGUUGUCCACAUAUGCUUAUCCUUUUGCACAUAUCAGCCAGGGAAACUGACUUUGUAACUUGCAAAAAUCAUCCACACACAAUCCGAGUC
This 436-nucleotide long non-coding RNA is filed under the name Actinidia chinensis (golden kiwifruit). RNAcentral's name for it is "long non-coding RNA (ACHI_LNC001162)". Lineage: Eukaryota; Viridiplantae; Streptophyta; Magnoliopsida; Ericales; Actinidiaceae. The record is from RNAcentral.